Molecule: long non-coding RNA, 619 nt
Organism: Gossypium arboreum
Lineage: Eukaryota; Viridiplantae; Streptophyta; Magnoliopsida; Malvales; Malvaceae
Exons: 2
Source: RefSeq, a predicted model, not a curated record
GGCUAUCCAAGGAACCUUACCUUGAAGAUGAUUUAAACAAAGAUUUGGUCCAAACUAAGCUUGGAAGCAUCAUUAUCAUGAGCCACAGUAGGACGUAUCAUCCAAUAUCUUGUCAAUAUCAUUGAGAGGGCCAACCUGCGAGAGCAAAAAGGUGAUCCUAUCCGCACACAACGACAUGAGCAACGCUGGGCAAGGUUACACCCUUUCGCGAGCAAGACGCGGAUACCAAAGAAGCUAGAGGGCUGGGCAAAUCGAAAAUUAUCAUUACAACCUACAAACUUGGAAUGAUAUUCAGCUCAUAGAAAUCAACAAGACUUUGUUGAUAAAUUGAUGCGAUUGUUCACAUUUGCAAAUAAAAGAAAAAGAAUAGCAUAUCACGCUGGUAAGCUUUGUCAACAUGAAAUUGUCAAGUCUACUUCCGUUGCAAAUGUCUGGGUUACUAAGCCUAAAGCUCUCUAGUAAGUACUCUAGAUUUUAAUCAUCAAUGUUGUUGAUUGCUAUUAUUUCAUGAUUUUGUUUUCACUAUUAACAUCGAUCUAAUUGCUUCAUGAUUGUGGAUGUAUUUUGCUCUAUUGAAAAGUACUAAAAAAAUUAUCUGAUCAAAGGAGUUUACAAAGGA